AAAUUGAAGAGUUUGAUCAUGGCUCAGAUUGAACGCUGGCGGCAGGCCUAACACAUGCAAGUCGAACGGUAACAGGAAGCAGCUUGCUGCUUUGCUGACGAGUGGCGGACGGGUGAGUAAUGUCUGGGAAACUGCCUGAUGGAGGGGGAUAACUACUGGAAACGGUGGCUAAUACCGCAUAACGUCGCAAGACCAAAGAGGGGGACCUUCGGGCCUCUUGCCAUCAGAUGUGCCCAGAUGGGAUUAGCUUGUUGGUGAGGUAACGGCUCACCAAGGCGACGAUCCCUAGCUGGUCUGAGAGGAUGACCAGCCACACUGGAACUGAGACACGGUCCAGACUCCUACGGGAGGCAGCAGUGGGGAAUAUUGCACAAUGGGCGCAAGCCUGA
This 389-nucleotide ribosomal RNA is filed under the name Salmonella enterica. RNAcentral's name for it is "bacterial SSU rRNA". It matches the Rfam family "Bacterial small subunit ribosomal RNA", at positions 1 to 386 of the family's 1533-position model. RNAcentral also lists the same sequence under 1 other name. Lineage: Bacteria; Pseudomonadati; Pseudomonadota; Gammaproteobacteria; Enterobacterales; Enterobacteriaceae. The record is from RNAcentral.